Molecule: ribosomal RNA, 295 nt
Filed under: uncultured Candidatus Neoehrlichia sp.
Lineage: Bacteria; Pseudomonadati; Pseudomonadota; Alphaproteobacteria; Rickettsiales; Anaplasmataceae
Description: partial 16S ribosomal RNA
Rfam family: Bacterial small subunit ribosomal RNA
Source: RNAcentral
AAUGAACGCUGGCGGCAAGCUUAACACAUGCAAGUCGAACGAAUUACAAUUAUAGCUUGCUACAAUUGUAGUUAGUGGCAGACGGGUGAGUAAUGUAUAGGAAUCUGCCUAGUAGUAUGGAAUAGCUGUUAGAAAUGACAGGUAAUACCGUAUAAUCUACGGGGGAAAGAUUUAUCGCUAUUAGAUGAGCCUAUAUUAGAUUAGCUAGUUUGGUGAGGUAAUGGCUUACCAAGGUUAUGAUCUAUAGCUGGUCUGAGAGGACGAUCAGCCACACUGGAACUGAGAUACGGUCCAG